This 465-nucleotide ribosomal RNA is filed under the name uncultured bacterium. RNAcentral describes it as "bacterial SSU rRNA". It matches the Rfam family "Bacterial small subunit ribosomal RNA", at positions 338 to 795 of the family's 1533-position model. The record is from RNAcentral.
CCUACGGGUUGCACCAGUGGGGAAUAUUGCACAAUGGGCGCAAGCCUGAUGCAGCCAUGCCGCGUGUGUGAAGAAGGCCUUCGGGUUGUAAAGCACUUUCAGCGGGGAGGAAGGCGGUGAGGUUAAUAACCACAGCAAUUGACGUUACCCGCAGAAGAAGCACCGGCUAACUCCGUGCCAGCAGCCGCGGUAAUACGGAGGGUGCAAGCGUUAAUCGGAAUUACUGGGCGUAAAGCGCACGCAGGCGGUCUGUCAAGUCGGAUGUGAAAUCCCCGGGCUCAACCUGGGAACUGCAUUCGAAACUGGCAGGCUAGAGUCUUGUAGAGGGGGGUAGAAUUUCAGGUGUAGCGGUGAAAUGCGUAGAGAUCUGAAGGAAUACCAGUGGCGAAGGCGGCCCCCUGGACAAAGACUGACGCUCAGAUGCGAAAGCGUGGGGAGCAAACAGGAUUAGAUACCCCCGUAGUC